Molecule: non-coding RNA, 775 nt
Organism: Physcomitrium patens
Lineage: Eukaryota; Viridiplantae; Streptophyta; Bryopsida; Funariales; Funariaceae
Source: RefSeq, a predicted model, not a curated record
GUUGACGAUGGCACCUGUUGCUCACUCGGUUACACACAGUCUUCCUGGAAAAGGAAUCCACAAAGAGCGACAGCAAUGGGGCCACCUCGUGCGAGGCGCCAUCAGCGUUCUUGAUGCGUGUUGUUGACGAGGGUUCUUUUGAGGGCAUUUAGUUUCUGGGACACCAUCUCCUGUAACUGGCAUCCGAAGAUUGUGACGCUCGGUCUUUUCGGCAGCACGCCCAAUGUAUCAAACGAGUUUAGGACUAAGACGGGAUGUAGAGGCUCAUUGGUGAAGACAUUCUCGCUCUUGUCAUCAGGAUAAGGAAUCGACACUUUAGUUCGACCUAUUCUUCAAUAGCUACCCUGUUUCGUGAGCAUUCAGUUUAAGGGUCAAUAGCUUGACAUGGCGAAAUCUUUGAAGUGCUCGGAUUCAACCCUCAUUGGUGAAACAUGCAACUCGAUGUAGGAGAAAGUUGAGCUGCUUGUUUCGAGAUCAUUAGAACAUAUGCCGUACAAACCUGCGAGCAAAAUUGCUCGAUGUCGUGCAUUGGAAACAAGUGAAACGGAUCAUUGUAUUAUGUAUGUUCAUGUUGCCAUUCACACCUAGCCAUUCACAUCAGCUUGAUAUGCUUCGUUUUCUCUAGGCUAUUGUAGUUAGGUUCUCUCACAUCUCAAAAACUAUGAGGAAUCUAUAUAUUUCGUUAUUUGUAAAUUGAAACUAAGCUUUAUAAAACUAGUAUGUCUAAUUAUUGUGUAUUUUUCACUUAGUUCCAAUUGUCUUCUAAAAUUGACAA